RNAcentral lists this ribosomal RNA (630 nucleotides) under uncultured bacterium. RNAcentral's name for it is "bacterial SSU rRNA". It matches the Rfam family "Bacterial small subunit ribosomal RNA", at positions 90 to 699 of the family's 1533-position model. The record is from RNAcentral.
GCUGAGUGGCAAACGGGUGAGUAACACGUGGGUGACCUGCCUUCGAGUGGGGGAUAACGUUCCGAAAGGGACGCUAAUACCGCAUAACAUCCUGUCUUUUAAGAGAUGGACAUCAAAGUCUGGGACCGCAAGGCCAGACGCUUGAAGAGGGGCCCGCGCCUGAUUAGCUAGUUGGUGGGGUAAUGGCUCACCAAGGCAACGAUCAGUAUCCGGCCUGAGAGGGCGAACGGACACACUGGGACUGAGACACGGCCCAGACUCCUACGGGAGGCAGCAGUGGGGAAUUGUUCGCAAUGGGCGCAAGCCUGACGACGCAACGCCGCGUGGAGGAUGAAGAUCUUCGGGUCGUAAACUCCUUUCGAUCGAGACGAAUGGCCCUCGAGUUAAUAGCUUGAGGGAAUGACGGUACCGAGAGAAGAAGCCCCGGCUAACUCCGUGCCAGCAGCCGCGGUAAUACGGGGGGGGCAAGCGUUGUUCGGAAUUACUGGGCGUAAAGGGCUCGUAGGUGGCCAACUAAGUCAACCGUGAAAUCCCUCGGCUUAACCGGGGAACUGCGUUUGAUACUGGAUGGCUUGAGUUUGGGAGAGGGAUGCGGAAUUCCAGGUGUAGCGGUGAAAUGCGUAGAUAUCU